UCUUUGCAUUGCUGAGGAGGACAGUCCUGCCAACAUAACAGUUUGUUCAAUAACAGGAGACAAACAGAAACACAGAGGUGCUAUACAUUCCGAUGGAAAAGACAACAAAAGCAUCUCCCAUCAUUUUGGCGUGGCUCAGAUCAAGAGGAGAAUUUUAAGAAAGGUGAUGGUUGGGCACACACAAGAAGACAUAGAUCACAUGUGUCCAGGCAUAUGUGUGUAGACAGGAGUUUCACACUCUGCUAAACUAACUUCAUCAGAGGAGCAGAAAGCUUCUCAAGAUCCCGCACUGUACACUUAGAUAUAGUCUUUGACUACAACAAGGGGAUGAAAGUACAGAGAGGUCCAAUUGAAAUCAAUUCUGUGCUGCGUCAUUUCUUCAUUCUGGAAGUCGAUGGACAUGAUUUAUCAUGGCAUCAGGUGUGCAGUUUGUCGACUAUCAGCAGUCUUGUUCACCAGUUGUGCAACUUGA
Molecule: long non-coding RNA, 472 nt
Organism: Mya arenaria
Lineage: Eukaryota; Metazoa; Mollusca; Bivalvia; Myida; Myidae
Exons: 3
Source: RefSeq, a predicted model, not a curated record